AUCAUAGAUACAGCUGAUCUUACCAAAAUUUUCUGCUUUGCACGACAAUACCUUAACUCCAGAACCUCAGCUCCUACUAAAUGACUCCAGGAAAAAAUUCAAAGAAUAUCCUAAGGUUCUAAUUAGUGGAACUUAUAUCCUUUCACUGAGAUCUUCUUCUUAUGUGUUGAGAAACUUGGUACCCCUCGAAGAAAUCCAAGACAGCAGUCUCAAUGUCCUCACCGGAAUACUUGAUAUAGUUUUCCGGAUGCCUCCCACUCUCAAUAUGACUCCUGAACCUUCCGAGAAAUGAUCUAUAAGCUGGGAUCAACUUCUCAGAUACAGAAAUACGCAGCUCCUCCCGGAGCUGGGUAUCCGGUAUCAACCAGGUGGACUGAGUCCUAUGUACCUCUUCAAACAUAGCAUUGAA
This 409-nucleotide unclassified non-coding RNA is filed under the name Hevea brasiliensis (rubber tree). Lineage: Eukaryota; Viridiplantae; Streptophyta; Magnoliopsida; Malpighiales; Euphorbiaceae. The record is from RNAcentral.